UCCCUGGUGGUCGACUGGCUAAGACACUGCAUUCCCAAUGCAGGGGGGCCUGGGUUCAACCCCUGCUGGGGGA
Molecule: non-coding RNA, 73 nt
Organism: Bos taurus (domestic cattle)
Lineage: Eukaryota; Metazoa; Chordata; Mammalia; Artiodactyla; Bovidae
Source: Rfam